CUGAAAUCAUGCCAACCCAAAUCAUGCUCAAUCCUAGCUGGUUUCAAAAGCUAAGCAGGGUCAGGCCUGGUGAGUCUUUGGAUGGGAGACCACAAGGGAAUGCCGGGGACUUUCCAGG
Molecule: ribosomal RNA, 118 nt
Filed under: Pogona vitticeps (central bearded dragon)
Lineage: Eukaryota; Metazoa; Chordata; Lepidosauria; Squamata; Agamidae
Source: RNAcentral